AGCACUUUGUGUGUUCAACUGGUGGACAAAGUCUUGGAAGAAAGGUGCAAAAAUAAAUCCUUUUUUGCAACCAGGACUCACUGUUCAGUGUGAGUUGUGAAACAGUCAAGAAGGAAUGAU
Small nucleolar RNA from Nannospalax galili (Upper Galilee mountains blind mole rat), 120 nucleotides. Lineage: Eukaryota; Metazoa; Chordata; Mammalia; Rodentia; Spalacidae. The record is from Ensembl.